This 200-nucleotide ribosomal RNA is filed under the name uncultured eukaryote. RNAcentral's name for it is "partial 18S ribosomal RNA". The record is from RNAcentral.
UGGUGUUGCUGAUGACGAUGUUUGUGACCCCAUUGUCCGUCUCCGCUUCUCGUCCAGGUCCUCACGGGUGUCCACCAGCACCUGAGCAGGCCAAGGCAGGAAAUUGCUACCUUGAAAAUGGAUUGGAUGGUUGAAUUUGUGUGCCACAUUCAGGGCUUAAGACACUUCUAUGGUAGUCUUAAUCUGCUUUCAACAAUAGG